Molecule: microRNA precursor, 87 nt
Filed under: Saimiri boliviensis boliviensis (Bolivian squirrel monkey)
Lineage: Eukaryota; Metazoa; Chordata; Mammalia; Primates; Cebidae
Description: miRNA (ENSSBOG00000009979.1)
Source: RNAcentral
AGCUGUUUGGUGUCAUUAAGAGUCUCCAGAGACGUUCCUUAACCCAGAAUCUUUUGACUGUCCUCUGGAGAGAAAGACAGUAGGUCU